AGAGUUUGAUCAUGGCUCAGGAUGAACGCUGGCGGUAUGCUUAACACAUGCAAGUCGAACGAACCCUUCGGGGUGAGUGGCGGACGGGUGAGUAACGCGUGAGGAACUACCUUUAGUUCGGGGACAACAGUUGGAAACGGCUGCUAAUACCGGAUGAGCCGAGAGGUAAAAGAUUUAUUGACUAAAGAAGUACUCGCGUCUGAUUAGCUAGUUGGUGAGGUAAGAGCUUACCAAGGCAACGAUCAGUAGCUGUUCUGAGAGGAAGAUCAGCCACACUGGGACUGAGACACGGCCCAGACUCCUACGGGAGGCAGCAGUGGGGAAUUUUCCGCAAUGGGCGAAAGCCUGACGGAGCAAUACCGCGUGUGGGAGGAAGGCCCUUGGGUCGUAAACCACUUUUCUUAGGGAAGAAGUUCUGACGGUACCUAAGGAAUAAGCCUCGGCUAACUCCGUGCCAGCAGCCGCGGUAAUACGGAGGAGGCAAGCGUUAUCCGGAAUUAUUGGGCGUAAAGAGUCCGUAGGUGGUUUUUCAAGCCUGCUGUCAAAGACAGAAGCUCAACUUCUGAGAGGCAGUGGAAACUGAGAGACUAGAGAAUGGUAGGGGUAGAGGGAAUUCCCAGUGUAGCGGUGAAAUGCGUAGAGAUUGGGAAGAACACCGGUGGCGAAAGCGCUCUACUGGGCCAUAACUGACACUGAGGGACGAAAGCUAGGGUAGCGAAAGGGAUUAGAUACCCCUGUAGUCCUAGCCGUAAACGAUGGGUACUAGGCGUAGCUUGUAUCGACCCGAGCUGUGCCGAAGCAAACGCGUUAAGUACCCCGCCUGGGGAGUACGCACGCAAGUGUGAAACUCAAAGGAAUUGACGGGGGCCCGCACAAGCGGUGGAGUAUGUGGUUUAAUUCGAUGCAACGCGAAGAACCUUACCAAGGCUUGACAUCCCGCGAAUCUUUCAAANAUGAAANAGUGCCUUAGGGAACNCGNAAACAGGUGGU
Molecule: ribosomal RNA, 990 nt
Filed under: uncultured bacterium
Lineage: Bacteria
Description: bacterial SSU rRNA
Rfam family: Bacterial small subunit ribosomal RNA
Source: RNAcentral